This 249-nucleotide ribosomal RNA is filed under the name uncultured bacterium. Its description in RNAcentral is "partial 16S ribosomal RNA". It matches the Rfam family "Bacterial small subunit ribosomal RNA", at positions 57 to 305 of the family's 1533-position model. The record is from RNAcentral.
GCAAGUCGAACGGAAAGGCUCCAGCUUGCUGGAGUACUCGAGUGGCGAACGGGUGAGUAACACGUGGGUAAUCUGCCCUGCACUCUGGGAUAAGCCUGGGAAACUGGGUCUAAUACUGGAUAUGACCUUUCUCCUUAUGGGGUUUGGUGGAAAGUUUUUCGGUGUAGGAUGAGCCCGCGGCCUAUCAGCUUGUUGGUGGGGUGAUGGCCUACCAAGGCGACGACGGGUAGCCGGCCUGAGAGGGUGAAC